CCCAAACCAAUAAAGUUUUCUUUAUUGGGGUUGCGGACAUAUCAUAACGAAGAGGUAUCGUAAUUGAAGAGGUUUGGAAAGACCCACCACAGAAGGUAAUAGUCCUGUAUGUUAAACGAGAAGACUUUAGAUAUGAUCCAGAGUACCACGGGACACGUGAAACCCUGUGGGAAGCAGGAGGGACCACCCUCCAAGGCUAAAUACUACCUAGUGACCGAUAGCGUAUAGUACCGUGAGGGAAAGGUGAAAAGAACCCCGGGAGGGGAGUGAAAUAGAACCUGAAACCCUGCACUUACAAGCUGUGGAAGCACAUUUCUUGUGUGACCGCGUACUUUUUGUAGAACGGGCCAACGAGUUACGUUAAGUAGCAAGGUUAAGCACUUAAGGUGUGGAGCCGUAGCGAAAGCGAGUUUUAACUGAGCGUUCAGUUACU
This 433-nucleotide ribosomal RNA is filed under the name Clostridioides difficile. RNAcentral describes it as "bacterial LSU rRNA". It matches the Rfam family "Bacterial large subunit ribosomal RNA", at positions 268 to 704 of the family's 2925-position model. The record is from RNAcentral. Lineage: Bacteria; Bacillati; Bacillota; Clostridia; Peptostreptococcales; Peptostreptococcaceae.